AUACGGAGGAUGCAAGCGUUAUCCGGAUUUAUUGGGUUUAAAGGGUGCGUAGGCGGGACUGUAAGUCAGGGGAGAAAUACUGCAGCUUAACUGUAGCAUUGCCUUUGAAACUGCCGUUCUUGAGUACAGUUGAGGUAGGAGGAAUGUGGGGUGUAGCGGUGAAAUGCAUAGAUAUACCACAGAACGCCGAUUGCGAAGGCAGCUUACUAAGCUGUUACUGACGCUGAGGCACGAAAGCGUGGGGAUCAAACAGGAUUAGAUACCCUGGUAGUCCACGCUGUAAACGAUGAUUACUGGUUGUUAGCGAUAUACAGCUAGUGACUGAGCGAAAGCAUUAAGUAAUCCACCUGGGGAGUACGUCGGCAACGAUGAAACUCAAAUGAAUUGACGGGG
RNAcentral lists this ribosomal RNA (393 nucleotides) under uncultured bacterium. RNAcentral's name for it is "partial 16S ribosomal RNA". It matches the Rfam family "Bacterial small subunit ribosomal RNA", at positions 523 to 918 of the family's 1533-position model. The record is from RNAcentral.